Molecule: long non-coding RNA, 1534 nt
Filed under: Chinchilla lanigera (long-tailed chinchilla)
Lineage: Eukaryota; Metazoa; Chordata; Mammalia; Rodentia; Chinchillidae
Description: lncRNA (ENSCLAG00000025408.1)
Source: RNAcentral
GACAUCGAGGCAGCCAAGUCAGCACAACUAAAGACACUCAAGAAAGAGGACUCCAGGGCUGCUGCCGAAAGUGACACACGCAGUGGGAUCAGUGUGUUUGAAAGACUUAAAUAUGCAUACGCUGGGGGAUUCAACCGUGGCUGAAGAGAGGGGGAACCACACUGGAGUGACUCAGAGAAAACCCACUAAAAACACAGGUACAUCUCAGUUAUGCCAAUGUGAAAACCAAGGAAAUGCAAGAAGGAAUCCCUCAGAAGGCUCGUGUUAUGACCUUCGCGACCUUUAUGCACGCCCAUCACUUCUGUGUACCUACCAGCAUCACUACAGUCCCCUGGAGUAUGUACUAAGUCUGCUUCAGACCCGAUGGCUGUCGAGUCUCACUCGAGGAUGGAGGGUCCUGCCACACAAGGCUUUAGAAAAAACAAGUUAUUAAAAUAACGUCUUCUCUUUCCAGCAGAAUAAUGAUAAACAGUGAAUAUUCAUGUGUGUUUUCUGCGGUGAUACAAUGCUUUUUUGGUGAUGUAUGCGGCCUCUGUGUUUUAGGGGAUAAGUGUCAGUAGUGUCUGUCCUGGUAUUUUGGACAUAAUAUUACACAAUAAUCAAAAGCACAGAUAUAUUUAUGGGUUUGUACCUUUGGUGUUAAGCAAGGAAAAAUAGCACAUGGACCUCGGUAAUGGUAAUAAUUAGCCGGUUGUGCCAUCCUCUUCCACUUCUGCCAGUCAUUCAGGGAACGUGACAGUGUCCUCCUGGAACUCUCACUGACUCACCGGGCGACCACGUGCUUAGCAGUUGAUCUCGUGUAAGCCCUCAGAUGUCCGGGUUUAGGACUAUUUCCUCAUUUUCUAGCCUCUCGGAAUUGCUGUGGAUGUAUGACUUCUGUCUAAGCCUGGCUGUGUUCUUGCAUUGAGACCCUGUGGAAUAGCAGCUGAAGGGUCAGUGCAGUGAACAUUUAAUGCAAGCAGGAGUUCAGUGUUUGAGAAAGGAGCGAAUCCCACACGCUUCAAAAUUCUACCCGCAGUCAGCACCGACCCUGCAAGGGCUCAGCAACUGUUAAGCACUGCCCUGAUCUCCAGCUCCGGGGAUGGAGACCUUGGAGAUGUGGGGCCUGCUGGCAGGAACUGCUAAAACUCGGGUGUCAGGCACACAAACAGGCCAGAGCACAGUGAGGUGAGCGCCAGCAGACGGACCCGGGGCGCAGAGAAAGAGCCCAGGAAGGGAUCCAGGCUCGCAUCUUGAUGGUUGAGGGAAGCAAGGAAAAAGUCACUCUUCAGAUACUGUAGGUUUUAUCGUACUAUAAUGGUUUUUUUAAAUGAAUAUUUAAUCAACUGGAAUUGUACACCAGGCAGUGUGCCAGGCAACAGGAAAAUCUAUAAAAGCAUCAGUUUUGGAGUUGGGUGGAUAAAAUUACAACUCCAUUUCUAUCUAUAGGUGUGACCUUGGGCAAGUUGCCUGACCUUUCCAAAUCUAUUUUUAUUUUGAAUUGUUAUCAUUUUACUUGUAGAAAGAGGUUUAUAAAAACAUCCAUACCUCACAG